ACGGGUCUUGGACAAAAAAAAGAUAAGUGAAUUUGAAAAAACUGCGAGUACCGUAGCACGGACAUUUACUUUUUACUAUUGUGCGUUUUCUUUGGGCUUCACGCCUUUUUGAAACUUCCCACCAUCUUCGCGGGAUACAUGGCGCCAAAUCAAAGUUUUGCAUCAUCAAGUCUACCUAUAGCACAAUUGAUCAAACUAAAGAGACAAACUUGAAAUCAAGAAUAAGAAUAUCAGGUGAGGGACUACUACUUUUAUAUUUGAGGAAGAAACACGAGGCAUUGUUUUUCUGGUGUCAAACUAUUGAGUUGUUUAAGUGGAAAUGAAGUUGUUUUUUUGCUUAAGUGCCGGCUCCAGAUUGGCCGUCAGUUGCUGCAGGGCAAUGGUGAAAAGUUAUUGAAUUGUUAUAUCAGUGUCUAUUUGUUCAUGGAGUAUUGAGUUGAAGUGUAUGCAGCAGGUCCUGGUUGGUUCUUAAUUGUUAAUAAGUGAAUUGGAUACAGAGCCGGCUCAAUUAUAUUUGGGACCUUAGUUAAAUAGUUUUAAUUAGUUCUUC
RNAcentral lists this long non-coding RNA (550 nucleotides) under Citrus x clementina. RNAcentral describes it as "Citrus clementina (C. clementina) long non-coding RNA (CCLE_LNC000869)". The record is from RNAcentral. Lineage: Eukaryota; Viridiplantae; Streptophyta; Magnoliopsida; Sapindales; Rutaceae.